CCAGACUCCUACGGGAGGCAGCAGUGAGGAAUAUUGGUCAAUGGUCGGGAGACUGAACCAGCCAAGCCGCGUGAGGGAUGAAGGUACAGAGUAUCGUAAACCUCUUUUGUCAGGGAACAAAGGCGGGGACUAGUCCCCGGAUGAGGGUACCUGAAGAAAAAGCAUCGGCUAACUCCGUGCCAGCAGCCGCGGUAAUACGGAGGAUGCGAGCGUUAUCCGGAUUUAUUGGGUUUAAAGGGUGCGCAGGCGGCCUGUUAAGUCAGGGGUAAAAGCCGGGGGCUCAACCCCGGCGAGCCGUUGAAACUGGCUGUCUUGAGAUGUCGAGAGGUAUGCGGAAUGCGCAGUGUAGCGGUGAAAUGCUUAGAUAUUGCGCAGAACUCCGAUUGCGAAGGCAGCGUACCGGCUCCACACUGACGCUGAGGCACGAAAGCGUGGGUAUCGAACAGGAUUAGAUACCCUAGUA
RNAcentral lists this ribosomal RNA (463 nucleotides) under uncultured bacterium. Its description in RNAcentral is "bacterial SSU rRNA". It matches the Rfam family "Bacterial small subunit ribosomal RNA", at positions 331 to 792 of the family's 1533-position model. The record is from RNAcentral.